AUUGAACGCUGGCGGCAGGCCUAACACAUGCAAGUCGAGCGGAGCGGCGGACGGGUGAGUAAUGCCUAGGAAUCUGCCUGGUAGUGGGGGAUAACGUCAGGAAACGGGCGCUAAUACCGCAUACUAUCAGAUGAGCCUAGGUCGGAUUAGCUAGUUGGUGGUGUAAAGGCCUACCAAGGCGACGAUCCGUAAAGGUUCUGAGAGGAUGAUCAGUCAUACUGGAAAUUAGACACGGUCCAGACUCCGACGGGAGGCAGCAGUGGGGAGUAUUGGACAAUGUGCUAAAGCCUGAGCCAGCCAUGCCGCGUGUAUGAUGAAGGUUUUCGGAUGGAAAAGCACUUUAAGUAGGGAGGCGUUACUAACAGAAUAAGCACCGGCUAACUUCGUGCCAGCAGCCGCGGUAAUAC
RNAcentral lists this ribosomal RNA (407 nucleotides) under uncultured bacterium. RNAcentral's name for it is "partial 16S ribosomal RNA". It matches the Rfam family "Bacterial small subunit ribosomal RNA", at positions 30 to 526 of the family's 1533-position model. The record is from RNAcentral.